GUUAAAUUAUGGUAAAUAGUGAUUUGUGCAAGUUUUUAUGCUGAUCAUAAUCUUUGAUUUCGUUUGAACACGCAAACGGUAUAAUAAUGGUUUACGCAUCGUAUUUAGUAAUGAUUAAUAAAUUAAUGAUAUAAUCAAUUGUUUUAUAUGAUAUUUGUAUAAUUAUUUAAAUCAUUGUGCUACUUUCUGAAACUAAUGAACUUUUUUCUUCUGUUUUAAAUUACAGACUUUUGCUGUCGUUACGGAUUUGUACCUAAUUUAAUUUGAAGAAUGUUCUGCAAUGCAAAUUUGAAAGAUUCAUCGCUCAAACAGUUAAUUUAAUUAUAAACAAAGUGUUUUGGUUUGGUUUUCCGGAAACACUCAUUAAGCCGAGUAGCUUCGACAUUUAUUUUAUGAUCACAGCUUACAAUCCGUAAUCAUCACACAUGAUUAUAGCUGCUUUUUUACCAUUUACAUUUUCACUUUCCUGUGCUAUUACUACGCCUUCCUUAGUUGAAAACUAAAACUUUACGUGCAAAUAAACUUUUCACCAUAUAAAAUGCCAAACCACCAAAUUAUUUAUUUGCUAUUUAUUUCCAAAUGCAAUAAAAAGAAAUGACCACGAUAUAUUUUAUAUUUGCAGUUGAAUUAGAAAUUUAAACUUCUUAUAUAAGCUAUUCAAACAUUUCUUUUAUAUGACUAUAUAUUGUGUCAAUAACACUUCAAUAACUUCAAUCUCAAUUUGAAGUACGGCAUUGAAGCGCUUAUUACGCAAUUUCACACCAAUCAGGCUGAAUAUCAAAAUAUCUAUCAAGAUUUUAUAUAGAGAUUUGUUGAUUUCUAAUUUUUUAUUGUCAUUUAGAUUAUUACAUUAUAACAAUUGUUACCAGAAAUAAAUAAAUAAAGUUAAAAAAGGAAAUAGUUUUGAUGUUGUGAAAGUAGCAGUUGUAAAUCUGAAGGUCAUCAUAUUUAAAAGUACAUUAACAUUUGCAAAUUUUGAGAAUGCAUUAAUAUCGACAAUGCAGUUAACGAUCACUAUGUCUGCAAUUAAUAGAAAUGUGUGUUAAAUGUGGUGCUUCACCGCUCAGUAAUUUAAAUAUUUAUGGUGCAUUUUCAUGUCAGAAAAACAAUUACUGUUUUGUGCAAUAACUUAAGCUAGUGCUAUAAAUUCUUGUUUUACGCAACUUUCAAAGAAAAAUAUUUAACCAUAUUAACUACAGAACAUUGCAUAUUGUAUAUUAGGUAUAUAAAAUGAAAUUUUUACAGAUGUGUUAGAUGUGCACUACGCACUUAUGCGUAAACGAAUAAUAAACAAUUAACGCAGUACCAAGAAAAAUUGCAACUGUGUAAUACUUCUUCGCUGAACAUAACAUUCGCAGAAAUAUUUUAACCUAUGUUUUGUAUUCAUGCUUGGCAUAUAAUAAAUACAAUUAAUAAAUUGUAUAGUAGAUAAGUUUAGACACACUGAAUAUAACAUUUUUUGAGACGCAGAAUGCAUAAAAAUUAUUUACUGCUUUAUGAUAAACACUAUAUUCAAUUGAUAAAAACUGAGCUGAUUCAAAUGAUGUCCAUAGUUAAUUAAAGAAUAAAGAGACUAUAUUUUUAAAAUUUA
Molecule: long non-coding RNA, 1591 nt
Organism: Dalotia coriaria
Lineage: Eukaryota; Metazoa; Arthropoda; Insecta; Coleoptera; Staphylinidae
Exons: 2
Source: RefSeq, a predicted model, not a curated record